AGUGAACGCUGGCGGCAGGCCUAACACAUGCAAGUCGAGCGGCAGCGCGUCCGACCACCCUCGGGUGGUCGGAUGGCGGCGAGCGGCGGACGGGUGAGGAAUGCAUCGGAAUCUGCCUCGUUGUGGGGGAUAACGUAGGGAAACUUACGCUAAUACCGCAUACGACCUACGGGUGAAAGUGGGGGACCUUCGGGCCUCACGCGAUGAGAUGAGCCGAUGCCGGAUUAGCUAGUUGGCGGGGUAAAGGCCCACCAAGGCGACGAUCCGUAGCUGGUCUGAGAGGAUGAUCAGCCACACUGGGACUGAGACACGGCCCAGACUCCUACGGGAGGCAGCAGUGGGGAAUAUUGGACAAUGGGGGAAACCCUGAUCCAGCUACGCCGCGUGGGUGAUGAAGGCCUUCGGGUUGUAAAGCCUGUCGAGGGGGACGAAGUUCUGACGGUACCCUCAAGAAAGCACCGGCUAACUCCGUGCCAGCAGCCGCGGU
This 487-nucleotide ribosomal RNA is filed under the name uncultured bacterium. RNAcentral describes it as "bacterial SSU rRNA". It matches the Rfam family "Bacterial small subunit ribosomal RNA", at positions 30 to 521 of the family's 1533-position model. The record is from RNAcentral.